This 240-nucleotide unclassified non-coding RNA is filed under the name soil metagenome. RNAcentral describes it as "partial contains 5.8S ribosomal RNA, internal transcribed spacer 2, and large subunit ribosomal RNA". The record is from RNAcentral.
AACCAUUCUCACCUGCGGCUAGACCUGCGGAAGGAUCAUUACAGAGUGUUUAACCCCCUAUAAAAUGGUGGGUCUAACCUCCCGUCCUUUGCUGGGUCCCCCUUCUGGAGGACUUUCAAAACUUUCUGCUUCGGCGGGGUAUACCCGCCGGAACACCCUCAAAAAAUUCUUGAUCAAAAUGGUUCGGUCCGAGAAACUUUUUGUGAAAAUUAGCGAAAAACUUUUAACAAUGGAUCUCAG